This 128-nucleotide ribosomal RNA is filed under the name Ceratobasidiaceae sp. RNAcentral describes it as "partial large subunit ribosomal RNA". It matches the Rfam family "Eukaryotic large subunit ribosomal RNA", at positions 99 to 225 of the family's 3401-position model. The record is from RNAcentral. Lineage: Eukaryota; Fungi; Basidiomycota; Agaricomycetes; Cantharellales; Ceratobasidiaceae.
CGGGAAGAGCUCAAAUUUAAAAUCUGGCGGUGUAUUCCGUCCGAGUUGUAGUCUAGAGAAGCAUCAUCCGUGCUGGACCAUGUACAAGUCUCUUGGAAUAGAGCGUCAUAGAGGGUGAGAGCCCCGUC